Molecule: ribosomal RNA, 446 nt
Filed under: uncultured bacterium
Lineage: Bacteria
Description: partial 16S ribosomal RNA
Rfam family: Bacterial small subunit ribosomal RNA
Source: RNAcentral
UCCAGACUCCUACGGGAGGCAGCAGUAGGGAAUAUUGCACAAUGGGGGAAACCCUGAUGCAGCGACGCCGCGUGAGUGAAGAAGUAUUUCGGUAUGUAAAGCUCUAUCAGCAGGGAAGAAGAAAGACGGUACCUGACUAAGAAGCCCCGGCUAACUACGUGCCAGCAGCCGCGGUAAUACGUAGGGGGCAAGCGUUAUCCGGAUUUACUGGGUGUAAAGGGGGCGCAGACGGCAGCGCAAGCCAGGAGUGAAAGCCCGGGGCCCAACCCCGGGACUGCUCUUGGAACUGCGCGGCUGGAGUGCAGGAGGGGCAGGCGGAAUUCCUGGUGUAGCGGUGAAAUGCGUAGAUAUCAGGAGGAACACCGGUGGCGAAGGCGGCCUGCUGGACGAUGACUGACGUUGAGGCUCGAAAGCGUGGGGAGCAAACAGGAUUAGAUACCCGAGUA